RNAcentral lists this ribosomal RNA (393 nucleotides) under uncultured bacterium. Its description in RNAcentral is "bacterial SSU rRNA". It matches the Rfam family "Bacterial small subunit ribosomal RNA", at positions 119 to 507 of the family's 1533-position model. The record is from RNAcentral.
AGGGAAUCUACCCAACUGUGGGGGACAACCUGGGGGAAACUCAGGCUAAUACCGCAUACGCCUCGGGGGAAANCGGGGGAUCUUCGGACCUCGCGCGGUUGGAUGAGCCUGCGUCGGAUUAGCUUGUUGGUAAGGGUAACGGUCUACCAAGGCGACGAUCCGUAGCUGGUCUGAGAGGAUGAUCAGCCACACUGGGACUGAGACACGGCCCAGACUCCUACGGGAGGCAGCAGUGGGGAAUAUUGGACAAUGGGGGCAACCCUGAUCCAGCCAUGCCGCGUGUGUGAAGAAGGCCUUCGGGUUGUAAAGCACUUUUAGUGGGGAAGAAAAGCCUAAGGAUAAUACCCUUGGGUCUUGACGGUACCUACAGAAAAAGCACCGGCUAAUUCCGUG